Molecule: ribosomal RNA, 468 nt
Filed under: uncultured bacterium
Lineage: Bacteria
Description: partial 16S ribosomal RNA
Rfam family: Bacterial small subunit ribosomal RNA (bases 58-468)
Source: RNAcentral
GGGGGGGGGGGGGGGGGGGCUGGGGGGGGGCGGGUCGAGCGGGAGGGCCCUGGUUGGGUGGGGUGCUCGGGGGGCGCGCGGGUGAGUAACCCGUGGGUAACCUGCCCUUGACUUUGGGAUACCUUGAGGAAACUGGGGCUCAUACCGGGUAGGAGCUCCUGCUGCAUGGUGGGGGUUGGAAAGUUUCGGCGGUUGGGGAUGGACUCGCGGCUUCUCAGCUUGUGGGUGGGGUAGUGGCUUACCAAGGCGUUGACGGGUAGCCGGCCUGAGAGGGUGACCGGCCACAUUGGGACUGAGAGACGGCCCAGACUCCUACGGGAGGCAGCAGUGGGGAAUAUUGCAAAAUGGGCGGAAGCCUGAUGCAGCAACGCCGCGUGCGGGAUGACGGCCUUCGGGUUGUAAACCGCUUUCGCCUGUGACGAAGCGUGAGUGACGGUAAUGGGUAAAGAAGCACCGGCUAACUACGUG